This 1832-nucleotide long non-coding RNA is filed under the name Orbicella faveolata. Its description in RNAcentral is "uncharacterized LOC110044612". Lineage: Eukaryota; Metazoa; Cnidaria; Anthozoa; Scleractinia; Merulinidae. The record is from RNAcentral.
UUUAAACAAUUUUACCAGAGAACGUUUUUUACCUCUUACAAUGAAUCCUGAUAUCACAUCUUCAAUAUUUUUAAGUUGUACUGCUGUUUCAUUGAAUUUAAAGCGUUUUUCAAAUCCCCUAGUAAAGAAGUAUAAAUACUGUCGCUGCACCGAAGCUAAAUAAGCAACGAAAAAAUUGUCAUCCAUGCCCUUAAUUUUUUUGUGGAAGGUCCUAAGGUCUAUAUUUUUGGUCGGGGAUCGUUUUUUCAACACCAACAAAAAAGUUAAUACGUAUAUCAAUCGGCUCAGCUUGUUUUAUGUAAAUUCAUGGUCUUCGCAAUGCGAUAACAUCGUAGCUCUUAGAAAAGCAAAAGAAAUCACUGCCCAGAGUCAACAUGAACACUGACUUGCAACCAAACGCUUCCAACAAGCCGAUAACGAAUCACAAUUUUUCGCAAAUAAGGGAAGGCGUUAAAACUCAAAAUUAAUGUCUUUUUUGUGUUACCUGGAGACGCUGUGCUGAUAAAUCACGUGAUCACAAAGUACCAGGUCACCUCGGUGAUCGAUUGUGCUCACCGGUGCAUGCGCGAGUCCAGGUGCGUUUCCUUCAACUUCGAGGAUCACGCUACAUCGCUAAGACACGUGUGCCAGAUCAAUGACGAGAAAAAGCAAAAGAACUUUGAAAACUUCAUUGGCCUGGAUGGGUUCAGUUACUAUGAGUUUGAGGUAAGUCGUCGAGGCGUCAAAAUAUGCACACCCUUUAAAAGACGUUACUUUAGGGCAAUGAUGCUGUAAUAUGCAUUACAGUAUAGCCGAAAACGUAGCCUCCGUGAAGAUGUCCCUCGUUUAUGCAUAACUCAUUAUAUCACUCUUUUAAUAGCUCAGUGGACUUAUAUGGUAAAAUUUAACAAAUCUAGACCAUUGUCAAUGAAAAUAUGUCUGUCUUUUACGUUUGACCCCGUCGAAAGUUUGCUUGUCCCUCUAAGCUUCUAGCAUUACUUGAAAGGCUUGCAAAUCGGGAACACAUACCAGAUGGAAUUGGAAUUUGUUGUGUUGGUUAUUGCGCGGAGGACGAAAAAGGUGAGAACCCAAAAGAAAAACAUCGGGCCAAGGACGAAAACCAACAAAAAUCUCAAACCAUGCACCGGUAUGACGCCGUGCGGGUUAACGAUUAGGACCCGAGCACCGACAGGGUAGGAGGCCAGCGAGUGCUCUCUCCACUGCGUCACUCCUUGGUUCCCGACAUACCUUGAACAAGCUUGCUGUUUAAUUCAAAAUAUGUAUUAACUAAGAUCAGAGCGGGAGACUCUAGUUCAAAUAUAACACCGAUGUUUCACUACGAGCACACGAGAGCUCAUCAUUACUCCUACCUCCAGUAAGAUCUAGGUGGCAUGUCUCAGCUGCAUAUGGUUUGAGGAAGCACGAGAAUUGACAUUAAAUUUCUGACGUUUGGGGUUAUAUCUUAGUAGCACGUAAUCUUCAAGUCCACAUGUAAGAAAAAAGACAAUCGACCGGUUACUGGAUCUUUCUUAUUUAUCUUCAUUCUCAGCAGCCUCUCGCAUGCGGUGUUGGUUCAUGUCAAAAUGGCGGCAUUUGCGUGGAGCAAUGUGACGGAAACCGCAAAUGUAUCUGUAAAGAAAGGUACACCGGAGCACACUGUGAAAACAUUCUCAGUACAGCAGAAACAUUACUCCUCCCUGUAACUGACGUGUCUUCUUGUAAGGAACUCUAUGACAAACAGGAAGAGAGUCGAGUGUUUCGACUGAUGUUUCGUGGGCAGACGAUCCCUGUUUAUUGUCACAUGGAAAACUUUGGAUGUGGAGAUGGAGGAUGGACACUAGCCAUGAAGAUUA